This is a long non-coding RNA of Pantherophis guttatus, 1005 nucleotides long. RefSeq lists it as uncharacterized. The record is from RefSeq and is a predicted model, not a curated record. NCBI's taxonomy places the organism in Eukaryota, Metazoa, Chordata, Lepidosauria, Squamata, Colubridae.
AAGGACUACCUGUAUUUUUAAAAAUAGAGAAGAAAAAGUAAACAGAAAUUCACAAUGUUGAAAUGCUGAAUCAUUGAUUUAAAUUAAAUGAAAGAAAAUGCAUAACUGAUAGAAGUAUUUUAGAAGGAUAAAAAUUCAAGACACCUUGUUACUGUAUGCUAGGUAGAAGAACAAACAAAUAAAUAAAAAGUGUGGAACACUACUAUUAAAAUGGCGAUAGAAAUAACAACCAAAUAGUUUUAUUUUUCACUGAGGCAGAAAGAAUGGACUUGAAUGAAUGCAAGGACAGAAAGUGCAAUGCCCAGGGAGGGACAUAUUCUACCACUACAGAGAAGACCUGCUAUCUGACCCGAGUCCGAUGUACCUCCCUCAGGGUAGGGAGCAUUCUAAGAAUGCACUCUUGAAAUAUUUGAACUAUGGAGGCAGACACAGCUUUGGAAAGGCAAUGAUGAAUCCGGAUGAGAGGACUUACCAAGAUGGAUUUGCCUCUUCAAAAAAGGAGGGAAACAAAGAGGGAGAAAGAUGCAGUUGAGAAGUUCUGUUCUGUUCAAUGUCCUCCAUCAUUGCUUAGAUAAAUAUUACUGGAAUUGCAAAAAGGAGAACAAAAGCAUGAUCUGGCAAAAAAAGCCAGCAACACUAUAGCCUUCCAGCGCUUUGUGAUCAUGUUUUCAUUGUUAUUCUGUUUCUGGCAAUAAUCAAGAUCAUUCCUAAGAAAUACAGGACUGCUUUUCUUGUCUAGAGGUUUCAAGAUGAAAUAGAAUAUUUGGAAACUGCCAGGUCAAAUAUUGCAGAUAUUGAGUUGCAUGAUCCUUUCAGCCAGGGUGAAUUGAGCUUCACCUCAAUCCUCUUUCGCCACAACUCUUGGAAUCCAGAACUAAUUGACUUCAAGAGAACAGUCUUCCAGAAUGAACAUGGGUAGUUCACAUGCAUCAAAUAACAAUUGCUAUUAGCCAUAGCAUAACUAUUGCAGAUUCUGAAAGCAGAAUAAAUACUGCCCAAUAAUAA